UCACAAUGAUAAUUGUAUUGUUUUGAUAAUUUGUAGGUCGUACACAGGGAUAUAAUUUAUUAUAUGCAUGGUAUUAACAAUCUCCAUCUGUAAAAAUGACAAAGUAAAACGCAAUUAUGUCACGUGACCACUCGUGGAAUGUUUUUUUUUUUUUCGUUCGUUUAUUUAUGCCUUAUAACUAAUAACGAUUCGUGUUGGCUACUUUAAAACAAGAUUUCGUCGUAACGUUCAUAUGUUCAUAACAACGGUUUCUCGGGGAUUUUUGAAGCCAUGAUUUAGUAAUUUGCUACCGAAGUGUUAAUCUGUUGCAGAAGACUUUGGACUGUCAAACGCAGCAGCACCUGAAGGAAAAACAAGUUUGUGAUGGAACAACAUGCAAAGAUGGGCGGAUGCGCGGAGCCCGGUGGUGUGCACGCGUCGGAGAGUGGGGCGCUCGACGCCUUCUGCCCCGCCUGGACUCUUGGCUGCAACUCAUCAACUGCCGAGUCUCCUACAGUACUGGAACAGCAGGUGGAGCGAACAUCAGGAACUCUGUAGCUUCCAGCAUCGUUGCCAUCGGGAUCUACAUUACCGUCAUUGUCACUGCCAUCAGGAUUCCCAACAAUGUUAGACCUUCCGAGAUAUCUGCAGCUGUUGGCUCUGCUGUCAUUGAGUCUCAUAUCACUCACACAUUCGACAAAAAGGACACACAUUCAAAGAAGAGUACACACAUUGGACACACUAUCAACAAAAAGGAUGCACAUUUGGACACACAUUCAGUUAAAAGGACACUCAUUAGAAUACACAUUUGUCUUCAUGAUAAGCAUUGUGUUUCAGUAGGUCACGAAAAAAACUAACAAUGAUUUCUUAUUUUUUAUUCACUUUAUAUAUAUUUAAAAAAAACUUAUAAAAAUUAUUCAACUAACACAUCAAUAUUUUUAUUCUAUGAAUCCUUUUCUCAGGACUAAAGUAUGGAUGAUAUCUCACCUGUGCGAGAAUAGUUUCCUACAGUCUACUACACAUACAGAUGCAUACCACGAUAUGCAAUCUGUCUUUUCUGCUGCUUCCAUCUUCUUUACAAUUUUACUGUCAAUAUUCUGGAAACCUCUAUAGUAUUCUGUUUUACCACCAGCCUGAAAGUCACUAUCAUCAUUGUAGCUAUCAGCCUCUUCAUCACUAUUAAUGUAAAUAUUCAAAAUCACUGACGUCUACAAGCAUCCUUCCUAAAUGUCCAUUAUUUUUCCCCGAGUUCAGAGGAUGUAUAUCGGCUUGAAUGUAUUCUCACUGUCCAUGGUAAUGAUACGUCCAUUGUUUUCAGUCUUCCUUAAACCUUCAAUAUCCUUCAAUUCAAGUGUUUUAUCAAAAUCAAUACAUGCAGCACACUCUUCUUUAGCAUAGUAGCUCCAUUGUUGACCUUAAUCUUGUAAGUGUGCAUGACUUUACAAGUGUUGCCGUGUCUUUUUAAGCUAUCACUUUGCGUAAAUAACCUACCACACCGAUCUCAGUUUGGUAGUGGACUUUUGACACAGUCGUUCUUCUCAUGCCUUCUAGCAUUCUUUCUCAGGACAAAUUCCUUACUGCAGAAACUACACCUGUGUCCUUUAGAUAACACUGCAGACAUUGAUCCGGACUCCACAUUAGCUUCUUUGACUGCGGUCACAUGCAUAAUGAAAUAUCACACUGAAGUCAAAUACUUAAAAAGAAAUCAAAAUCCAUCAGCGAAAGUUAAUUUUUCAGUUUGAAAAAAAAUUCAUACUGUAAGUAGUUCUGCUUUUUUACCAACAGAUAUCGCUUCAUGUCAGUGAGAGUUAAUUUAUCUCAUGCAAGAAACAUGUUGCAACAACAUGGUUCAGAUUCUCACCGACAGAUUUCACCCCACACUGUGUUGAAGUAAAUAAUUAUAUUUUUAUUUUUAUGUGGGAUACAAGAUGCUUUCUCAAGGCUGCAAGAAAAGGACGGCUAUGCUAGACCUCUAGGGAAAGACCCAAAAUUUUCAUGAUCAACUUUAAACUGUUGUGAAUUACCCCAAGAUUUGAUGUAUUUAUUGUGUUUACCAUUUGAGAUAAUGAAGUUCAAGUCAAUAUAUAAAAACCUAAGUAUCUAUGAAAUAUAAUUUGCUGUGGUUUAUUUUUGCUUAUUUUAAACUAUACAAUGAAACGACUAUGAUAAAAGACAAAAAUAACAUUGAAAAAAUCUAAACCCAGGCUUUGCACCUAAUUUUUGACAAGAAAUUUUAUAAAAGCUGCCCAUUUUGUUAAAGUUCAUUAAACAGUUAAUACUAUAAAGUUUAAAUUUGUCUUCAUGAACUUAGGUUCUUGCCAUCAGCCACAGAUGGCAGCACCGUCACUGAUACACAUUUCCGUUUCUCGAAUUCCAUUGCAUUCACGAAAAAACUCCCAUAUACCAUAUACCGAGAGCUAAGACGUCACACAUAAAAAAUUUUUUUAACAGAUUAUGGGUACUAAUAAUCAUGUAAAUAAUAGUCAAGUUAUGUUCAAUCAGUAUUUUACAUUAAUCAUCAGUUAAGAUUAAUCACAGCUGCUCGUGGUACACCAAUAAUUUUUACAAAGAAUAGCACAACAAAAUUUGUUAAAAUAAAAAUUAAGUGAAAUUCAAGGUUUUAUGACAGAAACAAUAUAGGUGUUCACACCAGUGAAGGAUUAGUACACCAUCACAGUGCUUUAAUGUUUUGGCAUAAUUUUUGCAGAUUUGAGAAUAUCUGGGAAUAUAUUUCCCACCCAUACAUUUAUGGUAUAAACUUGUUUAGCUCCAAAAUUUUACCCUGGUAAAAAAACCUAGGUUCAGUAUAAAAAUAUACUUUUCUCAUCAUGGAAAUAGAAAGAAAAAAUAUGAUCAACCAAAUGAUACAGGAAAGAUAAUAUGGUGAGUAGCGAUAAAACUGAAAUAAAGCGAAAUUAAGUAAGUACACCGCCAAAACCGAAAUGCAAGUAAAUAACACUACGUGACACUGAAAUGCAGCGUAAUUCAUCUUAACUGCCUCAUUAUAGCUAUUAAAAUAUAUAAUUAAUAUCAUUAAUCUUAUAACUAACAUGUUAUGUACGAAGUAAAAAAAAUUAGUUUCUAUCUAUGAUUUUUUUUUAAAUAAAAAAGGUAAAUUUAAGCAAUCUAUAGAUGAUACCAUACAGUCAUAGGUAAAGACCUUAAAGACCUAUAGAGAAACAUCACAAAAAAAUGUAAAUGUAUAAUGAUUUUAGGCUUUUAACAUUGCAUAUUUUUUUAUAAUGGAAUGUUUUAGUAAGACUUUUGUUUAACUUACCGUCAUAAACAUAUGUAGUUGUAUUAAUUAAUCUACACAUUUGAAGUGUCUUACCACAAAUUGUCGAAGCAGUUGAUCAAUGUAAUUGUGCUUGACAUGUAUUAUUUAUGUGUGUUUUAAUUUUUAAUGACAAAAUUUGAAUUUUGUAACUCCGUAUAAUCUUGGCUCUACUAAUUGAGGAUCUUUAAUUUGGUCAUGCCACAUUUACAAUAAAAAAAAUUUCAUGGUGAGAAAGUAUGUAUAUUUAUUUGCACGAUUCAUUCACCCAUCUUGAAAGAUGUUCAUCCCGUGAAAACCAGUUGCCUACCCUACCAACCUAUAUGAACACUAAUUUCCACGCAGGUACAUUAUUACAUGGUACGUUUACUCAGGAACAAGCCAAGCUCGGGAGCUACAUUAGCUGCACAACUCUAGCAAACGACGCGGGUCCACACACCCCGGGGCUAGCCGCUCAGGGCGGACGACAGUUCCCCGCUCUCCGCCAGCUGCUUCACGAUGUCCACACCACCAAUCAGCUCCCCCUUCACGUACACCUGCGGGUAGGUCGGCCAGUCGGAGAGCUCCUUCAGUCCCUGCCGCACCUCGUCGUCCGAGAGCACGUCGAACGUGCCGAACUCCACCCUGGAACACCGUGCGAGGUUCCCACACUUAUCUCCUCUCUACUAGUGAUAUCGGCCCUGGAUUUCCCAUGUACAGUGUAUAUUAACCCCGUUUCAUGUAUUUGUUUUGUCUAUGUAUUUUUUUUAUGUUUAUCGUGCCUACCACCGAUGGCCUUUUGCCGUCGGUAGGCAUGUAACAAAUUGAUAAAAUAAAAAAUAAAAAUAAAUAAAAAAAA
This is a long non-coding RNA of Bacillus rossius redtenbacheri, 4091 nucleotides long. RefSeq lists it as uncharacterized. Lineage: Eukaryota; Metazoa; Arthropoda; Insecta; Phasmatodea; Bacillidae. The record is from RefSeq and is a predicted model, not a curated record. The transcript is spliced from 4 exons.